Molecule: long non-coding RNA, 1239 nt
Organism: Silurus meridionalis
Lineage: Eukaryota; Metazoa; Chordata; Actinopteri; Siluriformes; Siluridae
Exons: 4
Source: RefSeq, a predicted model, not a curated record
CUGGAGACAUGUGAUUUUAAACCCAGAACAUCAACAUCCACAGUCUGCACAUCAACAGUUUGGCUGAAAAUAAGACACAGAAGCAGACUUUCAAUAACGAGAUUAGUGACGAGGACACUAGAAGGACUAAUGAGCUAAUCAAGAUAUUUUAGAACACUGGUAUGGAAAACGUCUCCGACUGAGGAUUUACAAAGUCGAAUCAGAAUCUUAAAGUCUUGUCAAUAGUUGACUGAUAAUGAAAUCGUGUGUGUGUUUGGGUUUAUGUGGGUUUGAGCGUGGGGGCAAUAAAAACAUGAAAAUUAUCAAAUUGAUUUAUUCAUAAUUACUUUACGAGAUCUGGAGUCUGGACCUCAAUAUCAGCUACCCAUGGGACAAGAAAAGAGUUGCUCAUCAGUGAUAAAAAUGGUGAGUGCCAUGAAGAUGCUGAGGUGCACCUCAAAUAUAUUCCCAUGGAAAGCCUGAAUCCCAGCAAGAGCUCUCCAGAUGGGAGAUGGUUCUGGUCCAGAAGACCAUGGUGAUCUGGUGAUGUAGCUAAAAUGAAUGCAUUAAACUAUAAAAGCAUAGGCUCCGCCUAAAUAUUCCUGAAUGAAUCUCCACAAAAAUCUUGUGGAACAUCUUUCCAGAAGAGUGGAGCUCAUUAGAACCGUGAAUGGCGACUAAAUGUGGAAUGGAAUGUUUAAAAAUGGGAUGAAAUCCUGGAGUUCUUGAUAAGUGUGGAAGAGCUGCAGUUCAUGACAGUAAAGAGGACUGAUAAAUCACACAGUCCCAAAGACAGAAAAAUGAUUGCACAAAAUCAUGAGUCAAGCACUAAUGAGGCAGACUGAGUGAUGGAGUGCUUCUCCCUCAUCACUUUCCAGAUGAGGAUGUGCACAGAGGUCGAAGAGUUUGAGCAGACGUUCAGAUGCCCACUCCAUCCAUAUGCACCAGCGAUCAUCGUGACAACCCUCAACAGGAAUCCAUUAUUCAUAUGUGGAUUACUCACUAAACUGGAUUUUAUUGUUGAUUAUAUGUUUGAUAUAAUCCUAAAUUGUUUUUGAAACUCAUCCUGGAAUUGUCGUCAUAGCAACAGGCCCAUCAUCUCAGACCUGUUCAGAAGCAGGAUGAUGGCUUUAUAAGUACAGUGUCUUCUCCAUGUAUAACAUGUAAGAGAACCCUUUGCAGAAGGAGCAAGUAUAAAAUGGAGAUAUUUCCAAAUUCAACAUGGAAUGUGUAAAAGUCCAGAUCCUACAGCAAAGGAAA